Mya arenaria is the source of this 4057-nucleotide long non-coding RNA. RefSeq lists it as uncharacterized. NCBI's taxonomy places the organism in Eukaryota, Metazoa, Mollusca, Bivalvia, Myida, Myidae. The record is from RefSeq and is a predicted model, not a curated record. The transcript has 8 exons.
UCAAAAAUAGCUAUAUACUAAGCAUUUUUUAUUUGUUUUACUUUAUUUAAAGCCUAUUGUAUAUUAUCCCGAGGUUUCAUUCCAUAAAAAACAGAAAUAAGGAAAUUCGAUAUUUCGUGUACCAUCAGCAUCCAAAUUUUCAAGUAUACAGAAAUUUAACUUUCCGGAAUAUAACGGAAAUUUUUGGGUAUCUCCGUGGUACCAUCUCCGUGCAAUUAUGCAGUAUGGCGUUCAUCUCUUACGGAAAGAGAAUGGUAACUUGGUGGACCGGCAGUGCUGAGUGAAUGCAGUGUUAUUGUUUUUGCGCUGAAAACAGGGAAUGGGCCUAACCUAGGAUGUCCCCAGGGGCAUUUGACGGGGAUCUGGUCAUUUCGUAACCUUACCAUUUCGUUACUGCUGAAUCUUGGUUAUUUCGUAACCAUUUUGUCAGUCAAUUCGUAACCGUCAAGAAAUCAAUUGCUCAUAUGGUAACCACCAUUUAACAAGGUGAUAAAUAGUACACUUAGCACCUCGUUAAGUGUAUUGUUUGAACCUGGAUGUAUAUGGCACAGCAACCAAGACACCAAUUGGAAGACAUUACUCAAAUUCUCACUAGUAACAAGCCAAUAAUUUAUGUUACUCAAUAGUUAUUAGAUAUAUAUAUAUAUAUAUAUCAUGCUAAAUUAGAAAUGAUUUGUUAUACUACCAAAAUAUGUUAAUUAUUUUCUUACAUUUUGCUUACUUAUAAACAAUAAUUUAAGACUGAUCGCGAUGUAUUUUUGAGUAAAAUUACGUGUCAAAAUAAUUCUGUGUAUUAGGAAUUCGCGAAUCACGUGUCACUUUGUUUUGACAGCCGGUACGUUAUUAAAUAUUACACCUGUGAUGUUAUGUUAACACGAUAAUCGAUAAUGAUGAUUGCGCUGUGGAUUGACUGUCGCGCGAUAAUCAAACGAUAAUCAAACUUGUGAAAAGAAAAUUGAUUAAAACAUUUAUUUGUUUGUUGCAGAAAAUAAAGAACUAGAAACGUUUUUUUAGUGAUCAUUUUGAAGGGUUGUUUUAUCUAAAGACUUCUAUGAUUGAAUCAAAUUAGAGCGGUGCUUUAAUUAAACUAUCAAACAUACUAAACAAGCAUUAAAUUAAGUUUGAUUGCAAUAUAAGUUGUAUUUAUCAAUCAAGUAAAAAAUGACAUUUAUAUUUCCAUAAUAACCUGGUAGUUAUUUGUUAAUUUGUUUUAAUUCAUGGAUAGGUUUAUUGCGAGUGUCAUGGAUAGCUGGAACUUUUCAGUACACAACAUGCAAACUGAGAAUGAACUGUGUGUGCCGGCUUUGUGAACAAAAACGCAAGGCGGCUAUGUUGCUGCUUGGGACAAUAAAGUUAAGUCAGCAACCGUCUACCAGACUGCAAGAUUCAUCUCUUCCAAAGGAUGUCGUACCUUUCCAGAUACACUGUGUUUUGUGUGGAUAGGAAAUGCAGAGUGGUACCACCAAUCACCUAAGCCACCAUUCCCCUAACAGACAAUAGGCUCAUGGGGACAGUUCCUGCAAUUUACAGAAAAGCUCUCAAUUGUAGCCCUACGAACAUCAGAUACUGCCGAUGGUGAAGCUUGGGUGCACCGGGCCGGUUUUCCAGCCGUGUGGAAUCAACAUCUCCAGCUGAACUGGGGCCGGGAAUUAUAUAAGACUCCUUAGCAGCAUGAGUGCCAGCCAGUCAUUGCUGUUCUUUGCAUUGCUGAGGAGGACAGUCCUGCCAACAUAACAGUUUGUUCAAUAACAGGAGACAAACAAAAACACAGAGGUGCUAUACAUUCUGAUGGAAAAACAAAAGCAUCUCCCAUCAUUUUGGCGUGGCUCAGAUCAAGAGGAGAAUUUUAAGAAAGGUGAUGGUUGGGCACACACAAGAAGACAUAGAUCACAGGUGUCUAGCCAUAUGAGUAGAUAGGAGUGUCACACUCUGCCAAACUUACUUCAUCAGACGAGCAGAAAGCUUCUCAAGAUCCCUAACUGCACACUAAGACAUAGUCUUUGACUUCAACAAGGUGAUGAAAGUACAGAGAGGUCCAAUUGAAAUCAAUUCUGUGCUGCGUCAUUUCUUCAUUCUGGAAGUCGAUGGACGUGAUUUAUCAUGGCAUAAAGUGUGCAGUUUGCCGACUAUCAGCAGUCUUGUUCACCAGUUGUGCAACUUGAGCUGGUAGCUUUAUUGCUUGAAGCCACUGCAUAAGAGGGGGAAGGUGCAGGCUCAUCAAAAAGUCUCAAAAGUUGAAACUAGGAAAAGAAGUUUAUCAAGAGUGUGAAUCUAUUUUGAAAACAAUCGUUACAAUGAUUUGGUUUCCUUUGAAACUUGAUACAUACUAUGAAUUGAGAUGCUUAAAUAAAAAACCGCUAUUCAAAUAUCAGGAAACUGCCUUUUUCAUACUAAAGGGUAAAUGAUGUCGCCAUUUCCUGUAUGUAUUUAAAUAAGAUAUGUCUCCACAAUUAAUAUUUUUAGGGAAUUUUUCUCAACCUAAUGACUGAGAUUAAAUUGUACAGCGUCAUAUGAGCUUAAUAUGUGUUUUCUCAUUCUUUAAAAUUGGUGAAAAAUUGUCAGAAGAUAAUUAGACCAGUAUCCAUUACUGCAAUCAUACAAUCAAAUAUACAGGGACAAGCCCACUGGGCAUAUAAUAUAAUUAAACCCUGUUCAGGGGCACGAGGCAAACAUAGUUACUUUCAAACGUUAAAGCUGCACUCUCACACUUUAGAUGUUUUGACAACCUUUUUCAUUUUAUGUCUUGGAUUGGAACCAUCCAAUUUUUGCGAAAAAUUAAAUCCCAGAUUUUUCUAUUUAAGUUAAAACAUUGAUGUUUUUUAUGCACUUUUCUUAAACCGUUAGUAACAUUAAUUUUCGAACGGAAAUAUGAAAUCUGCGAUCUGAUCUUUUGUCAGCAAUCUUUUAUCAUUGGUUUGCAGAUAAUUACGCAAAAACUUAAUCAUUCCAAGACAAAAAAAGUUGUGGAAACAGUAUAUCUGUGAGAGUGCAGCUCUAAAUGUUUAAUUGCUUGAUUUUACUACUGUAUUAGAAAUUACAGGGAUUGGGGUAUAUUUUUAGUGUUUUUAUUGCUUGUUUUUGAUUCAUACAGUCAUACUUUAUUCUUCAGGGCACAACUUACAAAUAGACAAAACUGGAAAAUGGUCAUAUCAAAAGGUCAAAGAUAAUGCAAGUUGAACAAUCAUAUUGUUCAUGGCUUGUAUUUUUGGUAUAUUUUGUUUCAUAUGCUAUAGAAAAGUUGAAAGUUAAAAGUAAAUUCAUAGUUGAAAUGAUGGCUUUGAAUGGUAUUGUCAGAUGAGAAACGGCACUAUUAAGAAAUAGGUAUAAUGGUACUUUAUUUAUUUUAAUCAAUUUUAGAUAUUAUGAAUUUUUUUUAUCUUAUUUAGUACAUGAGACCUUUUAAACAGUUAUUGACAAUAUAACAAUGUGUUACAGUAUAUGAAGCUUUAGAUCAACACUUAAAGCUGCACUCUUACAGAUUGUCAGUUUAGACACAAAAUUGUCUCAAAAUCGGCUGAUUUGGUUAUCAUUCCUUUAAUUCAGUCAUAUUAGAUAAUUCACAAUAGAACCAAUCAAAAAUGUUUGGUAAAACUGCCGAAAAGUUUAUUUACAUUAAAUUGUUCGUAAUGCUUUUAGUCAUUGUUCGUAAUGCUUUUAGUCAUAAAACAUCAUUUUUUUAACAUAAAUAUGAUGAACUGCAAUCUGAUCUUUUUUCAGCAGUCUAAUAUCACUUAAAAUUGGGUCUAGACAUUUCUGCAAAAAAAACUCCAUUCAUAGACAAACAAUAAAAGAGUACCGGUCAAAACGAUCAAUCGGUGAGAUUGCAGCUUUAAAUACACCUUUUAAGACCGCUGUAAAAUUCCAAUGGUUUGCCUAAAUCUUUAAAGCUAGCAUACUGUUUAAUUGACAACCAUACUUAUUGUUUAAAAGUGUCAUGAUAUCUUUGUACAAUGUUUUUAUAUAAUUCAUUAAAGAAGUCAAAACAAAUUUGUUUAUCUUGUAAUUUGUUAUCUAUUAUUUAAAUGACUCAGACAAAAAUGGGAACGUCAGUGCUAGU